GGCCGCGGCCGCCGCGCUCCGGGCUCGGCGAGGAGGCGGAGGUCGGCGGGAGCAGGAUGACGGUGCUGCAGGAACCCGUCCAGGCUGCUAUAUGGCAAGCGCUUAACCACUAUGCUUACCGCGAUGCAGUAUUCCUUGCAGAAAGACUAUAUGCAGAAGUACAUUCAGAAGAAGCACUGUUUUUAUUGGCAACAUGUUACUACCGCUCAGGAAAGGCAUAUAAAGCAUAUAGGCUUUUAAAGGGACAUAGCUGUACUACUCCACAGUGUAAAUACCUGCUUGCAAAAUGUUGUGUUGACCUCAGCAAGCUCGCAGAAGGAGAGCAGAUCUUGUCUGGUGGAGUGUUGAAUAAACAGAAAAGCCAUGAUGAUAUUGUUACGGAGUUUGGAGACUCUGCAUGCUUUACACUCUCCUUACUGGGACAUGUCUAUUGCAAGACGGACCGGCUUGCCAAAGGAUCAGAAUGUUACCAAAAGAGCCUUAGUUUGAAUCCUUUCCUCUGGUCCCCUUUUGAAUCGCUAUGUGAAAUUGGUGAAAAACCAGACCCUGACCAAACGUUUAAAUUAACAUCUUUACAAAACUUCAGCAGCUGCCUGCCUAACACUUGCACAACAGUGGUAUCUAAUCACAACAUAUCCCACAGACAGUCUGAGACUGUUCUUAUGGAAACGCCACAAGACACAAUUGAGUUGAACAGACUCAACUUAGAAUCCUCCAAUUCAAAAUAUUCUUCCCUGAACACGGAUUCCUCCAUGUCUUACAUUGACUCAGCUGUAAUUUCACCAGAUGCUGUCCCUCUUGGAUCAGGAACUGCCAUAUUGUCUAAACAGGCUCAAAAUAAACCAAAAACUGGGCGGAGUUUGCUCGGGGGACCUGCAGCUUUGAGCCCCCUAACUCCAAGCUUUGGAAUCUUGCCACUAGAAACUCCAAGCCCUGGUGAUGGAUCGUAUUUGCAAAACUACACAAACUCUUCUUCUGUGAUUGAUGUGCCAUCUACAGGAGCACCUUCAAAGAAGGCUGUCACCAGGAUAAGCCAAGCUGGAACAAAAUCUGUCUUCUCACAAAGCGGAAAUAGCCGGGAAGUCACUCCAGUCCUUGUUGCACAAACGCAGAGCUCUGGCCCACAGACAAGUACAACACCUCAGGUAUUGAGCCCAACAAUUGCUGCUCCCCCAAAUGCACUGCCUCGGAGAAGCUCUCGCCUGUUUACUAGUGAUAGCUCUACAACAAAGGAAAAUAGCAAAAAAUUAAAAAUGAAGUUUCCACCUAAGAUUCCAAACAGAAAAACAAAAAGUAAAACAAAUAAAGGAGGAAUAACUCAACCAAACAUAAAUGACAGUCUGGAAAUUACCAAACUGGAGUCUUCCAUCAUUUCAGAAGGGAAAAUUUCUACUGUCACUCCACAGAUUCAAGCUUUUACGCUACAGAAAGCAGCAGCAGAAGGUUUGAUGAGCCUUCUUCGUGACAUGGGGAAAGGUUAUUUAGCCUUGUGUUCAUACAACUGUAAAGAAGCGAUAAAUAUUUUAAGCCAUUUACCAUCUCACCACUACAACACUGGUUGGGUACUGUGCCAAAUUGGGAGAGCUUACUUUGAACUUGCAGAAUAUAUGCAGGCUGAAAGGAUAUUCUCAGAAGUAAGGAGGAUUGAAAACUACAGAGUAGAAGGCAUGGAGAUCUAUUCCACCACGCUGUGGCAUCUGCAGAAGGAUGUUGCCCUUUCAGUUCUAUCAAAGGAUUUGACAGACAUGGACAAAAACUCACCAGAGGCAUGGUGUGCUGCAGGAAACUGUUUCAGCUUGCAACGAGAGCAUGACAUUGCAAUCAAGUUCUUCCAGAGAGCCAUUCAAGUUGAUCCAAACUAUGCUUAUGCAUACACCCUGUUGGGGCAUGAAUUUGUGUUAACAGAAGAACUAGACAAAGCAUUAGCUUGUUUUAGAAAUGCAAUCAGAGUCAACCCUAGACACUAUAAUGCAUGGUAUGGGUUGGGUAUGAUUUAUUACAAACAGGAAAAAUUCAGUCUAGCAGAAAUGCAUUUCCAGAAAGCACUUGAUAUCAAUCCUCAGAGCUCAGUCUUAUUGUGUCACAUUGGAGUAGUUCAGCAUGCACUGAAAAAAUCUGAAAAGGCUUUGGAUACUCUAAACAAAGCUAUUAACAUUGACCCUAAGAACCCACUAUGCAAAUUCCAUAGAGCUUCUGUAUUAUUUGCAAAUGAAAAAUACAAGUCUGCUUUACAAGAACUUGAAGAACUGAAACAGAUUGUUCCCAAAGAGUCUCUUGUUUACUUUUUAAUAGGAAAGGUUUAUAAAAAACUGGGUCAAACUCAUUUGGCCCUAAUGAAUUUCUCAUGGGCAAUGGACUUAGAUCCCAAAGGAGCCAACAACCAGAUCAAAGAGGCCAUUGAUAAACGUUACCUUCCAGAUGAUGAGGAACCAAUAACUCAAGAAGAGCAAAUCAGUGAAUGUUAUCCGUACGAAUCAGUUGGCACAGACGAAUCCCAAGAGAGCAGCAUGACAGAUGCAGAUGACACACAGCUCCAUGCAGUUGAAAGUGAUGAAUUUUAACCUCCAGAAGCCAGUAUCUGGGCUUGAGGGUGUGACUUGGUACUGUUGUGUUCUCCCUUUCCUUUGCAUCCUGGGUCUUCACAUCACUGAGCCAGCACUGAGCCAGUGUUAUUCUCCACUGACACCAUGAGUACACCACUCAGACUGAAACUGUACGCAGAAUUAAUGGCAGAGCAAUAUUCAGCUGCUACUGAGUCUGACCAGUUGGCUCUUACACACUUAUGAAAAUGACUGAGGAGGAAAUGCUAUUUUUGGACUCCCCUUUGCUGGAAGAAUAUCAUGGAAGAAAGACUUGUGGUUUGCUGUAAUGGAGCCAGUAGAUGUGGGGAUAGUGCUAAUGAAGCAAUGUCUUGUUCUUUUUCAAGAAAUAUGUCUUAGUUUGGUUCUUUCUUGAUCAGCCUGUGUCUGGAAGGUGGAUGAAUUGCCUGGAAAAUCAUGGAGUGUUUCAGCUGACCCGAGUGUACUGAAUCUUGCAAGGCUUGUUGUGGUGAUGGAUGGGCUGGGGUGAUUCUUUUUCUUGAGUCCUCCCUGAAGAGACUGCCAGGGUUCCUGUUUCCCGAGAGCUCAACUGCAUCUGUAACGAAGUCCAUACGUAGUGCCUGUGAGUUACCCGUAUUUGUAGUUACCUUAUUUUCCCAUCCAGCCUCAGCAUAUGCGUCCAGCUUCCACCUGCGUUCCUCCCACUAAGGUCUCCUCAAGGAUGAGUUACUAAGAAGCACCUAAGGUCUAGAGGCAGCAUUUACUGUGAAUGCCACUAAUUAACGUGUUAAUUGGCUGCCUUUUUGUUCCCAACACUUAGGUUUUAUAAGAAAAAAAAAAAAAAAAAAGGGUGGUGGUGGGGGGGUCGUUUCCAUCUACCUGGGAGCUAGAAAACUCUCAUUUGGAGCCAGCGGGGGGUUGUCAUUGUAUGUAGAGAUAACACUGAGCACUUCUAGUCCCCAAAAUUGCCCCCCUUUUUUUCUUUUCAGUUUUAAAAAGAGCAGAUGCUACUCUCAUGACUCUUUUCAAAACAAACACUGUUUGUUUAACUGGGGACCAGAGAUCUAGGAAACUAGGUGGGGUUUUUUCCCUUUUAUUUUGUUCUUUGAAAGUUGUGAACCAUUGUGGCAUAAUUUUUCUAAUAGCCUGGAAAGAGCUCUUUAUUCAGAUGGGAUUUUAGAAGGAUACUCAUGUUACCCUGAAGAUUUAAUACUCAAAAAUUGUACCUUAAGAAUUUUUCCAGUAAUUUCAAGUAAUACUUAGACCAUGCUGCUAUUUUACCUUUGAAACAGAUACCCCAAAUCAAUAUUAAUAAAAUUUUGCUCUCUUUGAAGAGGGGUGAGGAGAAGGGCAAGCAUAAAGGCACUCUGACAGCCAGGUUAGAGCAAGUGUGUUUGCUGAAAAGAAUUAGGGAACUGUCAUUUUAUUACAACAAAAAUACGGAAAAAUGCGAAGUGUGGGUGUGGUGUGUACUAUUUGCAUUGAAACAAUGUUGUCUUUUUUUUUGCUUUUUCUGACUUUUUAUUUCAAAAAUUGUACAGUCUUAGAAAAAAAAGUCUUUUCUGUUAAUAUAUUUGCAAUUCAUUAAAGGAUGUGGAAAAUCCAAAUAAACUACUUUUAAAAGCAGGCUUA
This is an RNA transcript of Rhea pennata, 4172 nucleotides long. It is a transcript of the gene named cell division cycle 27, with no coding region annotated. The transcript is spliced from 20 exons. Lineage: Eukaryota; Metazoa; Chordata; Aves; Rheiformes; Rheidae. The record is from RefSeq and is a predicted model, not a curated record.